Molecule: ribosomal RNA, 497 nt
Filed under: uncultured bacterium
Lineage: Bacteria
Description: partial 16S ribosomal RNA
Rfam family: Bacterial small subunit ribosomal RNA
Source: RNAcentral
GACGAACGCUGGCGGCGUGCCUAAUACAUGCAAGUUGAGCGAUGAAGAUUGGUGCUUGCACCAAUUUGAAGAGCAGCGAACAGGUGAGUAACGCGUGGGGAAUCUGCCUUUGAGCGGGGGACAACAUUUGGAGACGAAUGCUAAUACCGCAUAACAACUUUAAACAUAAGUUUUAAGUUUGAAAGAUGCAAUUGCAUCACUCAAAGAUGAUCCCGCGUUGUAUUAGCUAGUUGGUGAGGUAAAGGCUCACCAAGGCGAUGAUACAUAGCCGACCUGAGAGGGUGAUCGGCCACAUUGGGACUGAGACACGGCCCAAACUCCUACGGGAGGCAGCAGUAGGGAAUCUUCGGCAAUGGACGAAAGUCUGACCGAGCAACGCCGCGUGAGUGAAGAAGGUUUUCGGAUCGUAAAACUCUGUUGGUAGAGAAGAACGUUGGUGAGAGUGGAAAGCUCAUCAAGUGACGGUAACUACCCAGAAAGGGACGGCUAACUACGUG